CUUGGGAGGGGGCUGGGCCUGACCUGCAUGGUGGUCUGAUGUAUUCUGAAAGAGCUCCCAACUUAACUACUGAUUUACCCGUGUUUACUGCCUCUUGGGACUCUACUUUUGCAGCAACAAGAGACUUACCGCUAUCUCGUUAUACUGGGGCUCUCCUAGAGCACGUAAACUCUGGAUUGCUCAUACACUCAAAGGAGGACGCGGUGAGGCCUAGUGUGGAUGC
This is a non-coding RNA of Pelobates cultripes (western spadefoot toad), 223 nucleotides long. The record is from the annotation of a GenBank genome assembly. Lineage: Eukaryota; Metazoa; Chordata; Amphibia; Anura; Pelobatidae.